Felis catus (domestic cat) is the source of this 1289-nucleotide long non-coding RNA. RefSeq lists it as uncharacterized. The transcript has 2 exons. Lineage: Eukaryota; Metazoa; Chordata; Mammalia; Carnivora; Felidae. The record is from RefSeq and is a predicted model, not a curated record.
GGGUGUAGGAGAGGUGACUAAGCUUACCAGAGUGAAAUCAGCCAACCACCUAGGACUUGCAACUCAGGAAACUACAGAACAGAGAAGUUAAAUCACAGCUAACAAGAGAAUUAGCAAGACAUUGGGGUUCUCCCAGAUUUACACUGACAUUUCUCCUCGGCAGCCUGCAUUCCUCUAUGACUCCUAUGGAUUUCAUUACCAAGACUAGUGUGGUCUGCUUCAUUGUCUUCUGAUUAUAUUUGGCCAAUGGAAGACAACAAAAGGAGAUGGAAGGCAUAAAGAUCGUUUACUGGAUGAUAUUUGAUACUGGCUGCAAUCUUCCACCUGAGGUCCCCACUUUGCCAGAAGCCUUCUGUCCUGCUGCUCUCCCCAGAUUCUGGAUUCUUUCAAUAGCUCCCUCUAUUUGCCACCUCAGGUUUAGAGAAGCUAAUGGUUUCCAAAUGUGGUCAGACCCUGGAUGAUUGACCAUUUCCUGUUGCUUUCCAACAUACUGCUCACCAUCAAAGAGUCAUCAUCAAACUCUCUUCAUCUUCAGUUAUCCCUUUGAGUGUACCAUCUAUUUUCUUGUCUGACAGGAUAACUAAGAAAUAAGAUAAAUCCUUCAAGAUUUAUCAACUAUUGGCUAAUUAAGCAAAAACAAUCACACACACACACACACACACACACACACACACACAAAAUGUUUCUGUUACUUUUUAUUUUCCCAAACAUCUGAGAAUGCAAGAAUAAGUUUGGUAACGGUCAUCUUCCAAGAACAAAGAAUAGUUUAAAAGAAAAGAUAUCUGUAAUUCCCUGAAUUUUGAAAGCGGACGUCCAAAAGGUGAUAAUCCUGGAAAUGUGCACAGCAGCAGGACCCCACAUUUGGAUGCCUAACCUCUGGCUUUCCUGUCAUUUCAAUCUAUCGCAACGACUUACAUCUAGAUGCUGUCUAGUUUAAUGCAUCCAGACCCAUUUGUAUUUCAUAUUAAAAAAUUCCCAAAGUAAACAUACCCUGUAGUUGGAGAGAUAUUAAUUGCUGAAGACAGUAAACAUACUGAGAACUCAUUUUACUUUUGAAAAAUAUUAAAUAAAGAGAGACAUCGCUUAAUUUUAAUCUAUCCAGUUACUAGUAAAGCUCUCUUUACAUGGUUCUUAAAAUGUGGAAGCCAUUUGCUAAAUUAUCGGUGUCCUAAAAAAUCAAGGCUACAUUUUAUCUACUUAGUUCCGACUAAGUUUCUGAUCACACAAUUCUAUUUUCCUAAACUUCACAUUUUAGCUAUCAAAAUAAAAUCAGUCAUUUCUGAAAUUUA